Molecule: ribosomal RNA, 115 nt
Filed under: uncultured bacterium
Lineage: Bacteria
Description: partial 16S ribosomal RNA
Rfam family: Bacterial small subunit ribosomal RNA
Source: RNAcentral
CGUUCCCGGGUCUUGUACACACCGCCCGUCACACCAUGGGAGCGGGUUUUACCAGAAGUAGGUAGCCUAACCGCAAGGACGGGCGCUUACCACGGUAGGAUUCGUGACUGGGGUG